GCAGUAGCCGCGGUAAUACGAAGGGUGCAAGCGUUAAUCGGAAUUACUGGGCGUAAAGCGUGCGUAGGCGGUGAGUUAAGUCUGCUGUGAAAUCCCCGGGCUCAACCUGGGAAUGGCAGUGGAUACUGGCUCGCUAGAGUGUGUCAGAGGAUGGUGGAAUUCCCGGUGUAGCGGUGAAAUGCGUAGAGAUCGGGAGGAACAUCAGUGGCGAAGGCGGCCAUCUGGGACAACACUGACGCUGAGGCACGGAAGCGUGGGGAGCAAACAGGAUUAGAUACCCCGGUAGUCCCUGUCUCUUAUCC
Molecule: ribosomal RNA, 302 nt
Filed under: uncultured bacterium
Lineage: Bacteria
Description: partial 16S ribosomal RNA
Rfam family: Bacterial small subunit ribosomal RNA
Source: RNAcentral